AGGACGAACGCUGGCGGCGUGCCUAAUACAUGCAAGUCUAAGGGGUUGAUUUCCUUCGGGAGAUCAAUCACUGGCGCACGGGUGAGUAACACGUAAGUCAUCUGCCCUUGGGUCUGGCAUAACUCCGGGAAACCGGAGCUAAUACCAGAUGACACCUGACGCGAGAGCGUCGAGGUCAAAGUUUCGACGCCCAGGGAUGAGCUUGCGUCUGAUUAGCUAGUUGGCGGGUAAAGGCCCACCAAGGCAACGAUCAGUAGCCGGUCUGAGAGGAUGAUCGGCCACAUUGGGACUGAGACACGGCCCAGACUCCUACGGGAGGCAGCAGUGGGGAAUAUUGGACAAUGGGCGCAAGCCUGAUCCAGCCAUGCCGCGUGAGUGACGAAGGUCUUCGGAUUGUAAAACUCUUUUUGGCGGGACGAUAAUGACGGUACCCGCAGAAUAAGCCCCGGCUAACUUCGCGCCAGCAGCCGC
RNAcentral lists this ribosomal RNA (471 nucleotides) under uncultured bacterium. RNAcentral describes it as "SSU rRNA". It matches the Rfam family "Bacterial small subunit ribosomal RNA", at positions 26 to 518 of the family's 1533-position model. The record is from RNAcentral.